GGAAAAAUUUGUCGAAAUCCGAUUCUUCCUCUUUUAACCACCUCUACAACCCUUAUCUGACCCCUCUAGACUACAUCCACCCUUUGUAUAGCCUAAUAUCAUCAAAAGACUAGAUAGAAAUGGAUAUUUACCUUUUUCUUUUUAGAAAUCGAGGUCCUUGCGUAGAGGGGAAGGAGAUCUACGUUUUUUCCUUCAGCUGGCAACGCAACCGGGAUCUCCUUCCUUUUCUUUUUCUUCUUCUUCU
This 244-nucleotide long non-coding RNA is filed under the name Phoenix dactylifera (date palm). Its description in RNAcentral is "long non-coding RNA (PDAC_LNC020578)". Lineage: Eukaryota; Viridiplantae; Streptophyta; Magnoliopsida; Arecales; Arecaceae. The record is from RNAcentral.